This 497-nucleotide ribosomal RNA is filed under the name uncultured bacterium. Its description in RNAcentral is "partial 16S ribosomal RNA". It matches the Rfam family "Bacterial small subunit ribosomal RNA", at positions 28 to 507 of the family's 1533-position model. The record is from RNAcentral.
GAUGAACGCUGGCGGCGUGCCUAAUACAUGCAAGUCGAGCGAACAGACGAGGAGCUUGCUCCUCUGACGUUAGCGGCGGACGGGUGAGUAACACGUGGAUAACCUACCUAUAAGACUGGGAUAACUUUGGGAAACCGGAGCUAAUACCGGAUAAUAUAUUGAACCGCAUGGUUCCAUCGUGAAAGACGGUUUUGCUGUCACUUAUAGAUGGAUCCGCGGCGCAUUAGCUAGUUGGUAAGGUAACGGCUUACCAAGGCUACGAUGCGUAGCCGACCUGAGAGGGUGGUCGGCCACACUGGAACUGAGACACGGUCCAGACUCCUACGAGAGGCAGCAGUAGGGAAUCUUCCGCAAUGGGCGAAAGCUUGACGGAGCAACGCCGCGUGAGUGAUGAAGGUCUUCGGAUCGUAAAACUCUGUUAUUAGGGAAGAACAAAUGUGUAAGUAACUAUGCACGUCUUGACGGUACCUAAUCAGAAAGCCACGGCUAACUACGUG